Molecule: RNase P RNA, 319 nt
Filed under: Tiamatella incendiivivens (SeqCode)
Lineage: Archaea; Thermoproteati; Thermoproteota; Thermoprotei; Acidilobales; Acidilobaceae
Description: Candidatus Tiamatella incendiivivens RNase P RNA component
Rfam family: Archaeal RNase P
About the family: Ribonuclease P (RNase P) is a ubiquitous endoribonuclease, found in archaea, bacteria and eukarya as well as chloroplasts and mitochondria. Its best characterised activity is the generation of mature 5'-ends of tRNAs by cleaving the 5'-leader elements of precursor-tRNAs. Cellular RNase Ps are ribonucleoproteins.
Source: RNAcentral
GAGACCGGGCUGGCGGCCUACGGGCUCUAAAGGCCUGAGGAAACUUCACCCUCCCCACGGUAAUGGGACCCCGCGAGGGGUACGGGGAGACCUGUGGCAAUGCCACAGAAACGGCACGCCCCCCAGGAGAUGCCUGUGAAGCAGAGAGGCGGGCUUGGCAACAGGCCUGUAGUAACCUGCAGAGCACCCUGGGGGAAGCGAUGAAACGGGCAGUCCCCCACGGAGCAAGGCUCCCAGCUAAUGAAUAACCGUGAAAGGCUGGGGAGACCGCAGAGUCGAAUGCCGCCGCAGUACAGAAGGUGAGUUAUAGCCCGGACUC